RNAcentral lists this long non-coding RNA (475 nucleotides) under Capra hircus (goat). RNAcentral describes it as "lncRNA (ENSCHIG00000007848.1)". The record is from RNAcentral. Lineage: Eukaryota; Metazoa; Chordata; Mammalia; Artiodactyla; Bovidae.
GUGAUUGUUCCUUCCACUUCAGGGGCCUUGGGAGGAUGACCUAAGGCUGCUUUCUCCUGUCCUUACUUCCUCUACCCAGUGCUGUAACUACACAUGCAAUCAGCUGGUUCUUAUAAAGGAUGCUGACCAAUGCUGUGAUGUUGUCUUCAGGAAGCAGGGGGAUCUCCAAACAAGGUAAAAUGAGAAAUGUUGAUUCAUGGAAUGUCAUGAAGACUUGAACACUUAAGACUUGAACACCAUGGGAACUUUAGGGAUGCAGAUGGAUGGUCCGGAAAAACUGAAAUAUCUGGUCAAAACUUCCUGGGGACUCUCUUUCCAAAAGCUCCUGCUUCUGCUUCUCUCUCUGCGAUGGCUCCCUUCUCUUUCCCUGGAGACUGGAUUCUUCUGCAUGGCAAGAAACACUGCUAUCACACUUCCUGAGUCCUACAUCCUGCAACUUCUACUAUGGUUGUACAUCUCAUUGUCAGAGACAUAG